UGUUAAAAAAUUCAUCCAUUUGUACUGUUAAAAACUAGUGUGAUUGAAGAAAUAACUAGACAAUAACAUAUGACAUGCCAUGUGUAUCUCAUAUUGACAUUUAAGGCAGGGACCAAUUUUGAAUGGUAGAAAUGGAAGAAUUUUUUAAUA
Molecule: non-coding RNA, 150 nt
Organism: Gossypium arboreum
Lineage: Eukaryota; Viridiplantae; Streptophyta; Magnoliopsida; Malvales; Malvaceae
Source: Rfam